Long non-coding RNA from Spea bombifrons (plains spadefoot toad), 769 nucleotides. RefSeq lists it as uncharacterized. The record is from RefSeq and is a predicted model, not a curated record. NCBI's taxonomy places the organism in Eukaryota, Metazoa, Chordata, Amphibia, Anura, Pelobatidae. The transcript is spliced from 3 exons.
UUCAUUUGCUGACUGUCGAGGGGGGAAGGCCGCAGACCGGGCUCCUGGCUGCUCGCAGAGCUGGGCUCGCCCUGUCCGUCCGUCCGCCCGUGUCGGGUGCCAAGCGGUUCGAAGUUUCCAGGACUCCCUAGAUGAUGAAGAGGCGGCAUCGUUGGCAAUGUUUCCAAGAGCAGCCAUGGGUGUGAAUUCAUAGCAAGCGGCAGACAGAGUUGCAACUUUAGGCCUCAGCCCAGUCAGCCUAGUCCUCAAUUUGUUGCUGAGUGGGGAACGGGCAUUGCUAAACACAGCUCCCCUGUGCUGAGAGAAACUGAUCCGGACGCCCAGGAAAGCCAGGAUUCUCUUGGAGACUCCCAGUCAAAUAUAGAGAGUUUCCAGGUUUGGAUAUGUUGCACAAUGUAGCAGAACUACGAUGGAAAUUAGGUCAUUGUCUUAAUGUUAUCUUUCUUCAUUACCAUACCUGGAGACUGCAGGUGAAGAACCGCUUCUCUGGGUCUCCAGGUCACCGCAGAGAAUCUCUGGGUCUCCGGGGGCCAUUUCCACUUAAAUUAGAACUCCAAAUAUCUUUACACAGGGAACAUCAGCAGACUGCCCAUUGACAUCAGCAGAGUUCCCACUGAAAUCAGCCCCCCCCCAGACGACCAGGUAGCUGGAGGCUGAAUGCUCCCAAAUAUGUUCAUUCCACCCUUACAAAGACUUGAACUGGCAGGAACAAUUUCCAACUACUAAAUGAUAAGGGAGAAAUAGCUUAAAAGAAGGAAUAAUCAGGAAA